GGGCGUUUAGCUCAGCUGGUAGAGCAGCUCCCUCUUAAGGAGAAGGUCGGGGGUUCGAUCCCCUCAACGCCCACCA
Molecule: transfer RNA, 76 nt
Filed under: Patescibacteria group bacterium
Lineage: Bacteria
Description: tRNA-Lys
Rfam family: tRNA
About the family: Transfer RNA (tRNA) molecules are approximately 80 nucleotides in length. Their secondary structure includes four short double-helical elements and three loops (D, anti-codon, and T loops). Further hydrogen bonds mediate the characteristic L-shaped molecular structure. tRNAs have two regions of fundamental functional importance: the anti-codon, which is responsible for specific mRNA codon recognition, and the 3' end, to which the tRNAs corresponding amino acid is attached (by aminoacyl-tRNA synthetases). tRNAs cope with the degeneracy of the genetic code in two manners: having more than one tRNA (with a specific anti-codon) for a particular amino acid; and 'wobble' base-pairing, i.e. permitting non-standard base-pairing at the 3rd anti-codon position.
Source: RNAcentral